This is a long non-coding RNA of Limulus polyphemus (Atlantic horseshoe crab), 715 nucleotides long. RefSeq lists it as uncharacterized. The transcript is spliced from 2 exons. The record is from RefSeq and is a predicted model, not a curated record. NCBI's taxonomy places the organism in Eukaryota, Metazoa, Arthropoda, Merostomata, Xiphosura, Limulidae.
AUAGAACUUCUCUCAAGUUUAAAAACUGUAUGACUUAAGAUAAUAUAUUUAGAUUUAUAAACUUGUAACCAAUUCGGGAAGUUUAUGUCUUGACUAACUGAAUGAAAUUAUUUCUCCUCAUUUGUGUAAGCAUGAUCCGAAUUUGUUAUGUCUCGUCCCGCUACUUAUCACCCUGAUAGCCUUGUUUCCGUUAAUAGUGACAUUCAUUUUACUGUGCAGUCUUAUCAUUUCUGAGGAAGAGAGAUGAUCUUACGUUGCACGAGCUUUUUCAACAAGCACGAAAACAGUCAGAUCAUUGCCAUUAAGGAGAAGAACAAAAACAACCAUUGGAAUAAUGAAGAAACACAAUUUUCUGUAUCAUCGACUUGCACAGCAUGGCCGCCGCUGCUGACAUUUAUUCUUCUGCUUUCAAGACAACUCAUGAGAUGUGUCAAUAAAUAUCUGCUUAAUUAAUAACUGUUUCUCUUGUUAAUGAUGAGGAAAGAAAUACUUUUAUAUAUUGCUUCGUGGAAACUGAUCAAGGGAAGAAGGAGUUAUGUUUGUCUUGAAAGCUAUAAUUGUGUCGGUUCUUCAUAUAUGUUAUCGUUCUCAUAUUAGGAAAAUUUAUUCUUAGAUUAUUUAAUACAGAUAUUAGAUAUGAAUGUUAAAAUAUAUGUAAUCUCAAAAAUUACAAAGCGUAAAUAAACUAAUACGAUAGGCAAAUAGUACACCUUAA